This 243-nucleotide ribosomal RNA is filed under the name uncultured bacterium. Its description in RNAcentral is "partial small subunit ribosomal RNA". It matches the Rfam family "Bacterial small subunit ribosomal RNA", at positions 26 to 285 of the family's 1533-position model. The record is from RNAcentral.
AGGACGAACGCUGGCGGCGUGCUUAACACAUGCAAGUCGAGCGGUGAUCCUCCUUCGGGAGGUGAGCAGCGGCGAACGGGUGAGUAACACGUGGGCAACCUGCCCCUCACACUGGGAUAACCUCGGGAAACCGAGGCUAAUACCGCAUAACAUCGUGAGAUCAAAGCAGUAAUGCGCUGGAAGAGGGGGUCGCGGCUGAUUAGCUAGUUGGCGGGUAAUGGCCCACCAAGGCGAAGAUCGGUA